GUCAAAAGAAAGACAUAUUAUACUAAAGUCCGAUAUUGCUCUGACGUCUGAGGGCUUUGUUUAGGACUUGUUGGGCCUCAUCUACCAUUAAGGAAGCCACCAAAUGUCAGAGCAAACUCUUGACUAAUUAUACGGUCAAUGAACAAUCCCCCAGACUCCGAUCAGGAUAGGGAGGAAGUUUCAUCUAGGACGGAAGCAAAUCGUUUUUAUAUUGGAAACACAGAGCCUACAUCAAAUGCAGAUUUGGAACAACUGUGUUCGAUAAUCAAUACAAUACGGGAAGAAAAAUAUGAUUUGGAAAAUAAGAAUGAUGAACUACAGCAACAAACAUUGACGUUAAAACGCGAAAACAACGAUGUAAGAAGGAAAAUGAGAGAAUUAGAGGAUGGUGUUGAAAAUGAGAGGGAGAGAUAUGAACAAAACAUGAGACAACUGCAGAGUCAAGGUGACGAGAGAAUCAACGACAUGUACGAUAUUUUACACAAACAAAGAUUACAGAUAGAACAAAAAGAUGAGCUUAUACGAUCCAUGUCAAAGGAAAUGACCAAAGUGAAGGCAAGGAUCAUGCAUUACGAAAAUGAUCAGAUGAGAGAUAUUAGACCAAGACAAUCAAAGCGAUUCAAAAGAAGCAUAAUAACAGAAUGCAAACACUGCCACUCUGCAAUUACAGAUGGUGACGAGGAGUGUCGUUUCCACCCUGAAAAACCUGUCCGUGCGGUAAACUACAGCAAAACAAACCCGGUAAUGCUUUGGAAGUGUUGUUACCAGGUAGCCAAAAAAGAACCUUUUGGAUGUACAAGUCUUGCCAACCACGAACCGGUGGCAUGAAUUCGCUUGACCAUUUCUAAUUCGUGGUCCUAUGAUAUUUUUUCCCAAUUAUUGUGAAAUUCUGUCAGCUAUAGAUAAGAGCGAUUUUUCGUGUGGAAAAUUCCUUUCUAAAUAUGAAUAUCAUUGUUUUUGUCAACAUAUUUUAAACUCUAAUCGCAAAAGGAUCAUAAUUCAAUAUCUUAAUUUUAUGGAUAUUUGUUACAGUGAUAGUAGCAAUAUUAGUGUAAUUAAUAUACCACUUAUACAUGUACUAUCAAUAUAUCUAUGGGUUAUUAAUUUCACCUAUUUUAAGAUUAGGAUGUUUCUUUGAAAAUCGUGUUAUUAUUUUCUUAAAUUUUUACUUUGAUUUUUUAUUUUAUCGACUGAUUGUUAUUUUUUUUAAAUUAGUAAGCUUAUUUAAAAUUACAAUGUCUUGCUUUUAUAAUGGAAAAUUUAACUGUCUCAAAUCAUUGAUUGAUUGAUUGUUGAUUGCUUAACGUCCAAUGGCAAAUAUUUCAUGCAUGUUCAGGUCUCAAAUGAGAAAUGUUGUAUCGCAGUCCUUGCAAACUUUGUGGAGUUUUUUUUGUAUUAUUUAAUGUAUAUAUGUAUUUUGUUGUAUUAGUAAUAAGGCAACUGACACUAUAUACAUAAUUUCGUCAAAUUUCUAGGUCAAUUUCAUUUUGCAUAAAUUAUGAAAAUCGUGUAAGCCGUAAGUUGAGACUUGGGUAUUACGUUUGCUCUUAUAUCUUAUAGCUUUUUCACGUGUUUGGUUCAGUAACUUUACAUCAUAGGUCAGCAAUACUUCAUUUGUGAAUAAUAUGUUAUAUGGAGUAUAUAUUUUUGGCUGACAUAAUGCAUAUACCUUCGACCUCAUUUGCAUGCUCCAGUAGUCUGAUUAAAGUCUUUAAACGUUUUUUAUUUUAUUUUAAUUAUACAAGAUUCGACACAUAUAUCGUGUAUCUGAUUUUUAUUUAUGUGAAGAGAUAAAAAAUAAAAGAUGUGAGGAAUAAAUAAAAAGACAAUAUCUUAAUGACAAAAUAUAACUGAAAAAAAAAAUCACUACCAGGGGCGGAUUCAGGCGGGGCUUGGCGGGCGUGCGCCCCCUAAAAUUUGCAAAGCAUGGGUUGUCCUCAGCUUAAUAAAGAAUACUUCGAUAAUUUACCUCAAAAAAAAAUUUAAGUUUUCGCCCCCUAACCUAAAAUCCUGGAUCCGACCCUGACUACGUUAUUUAAUAUCAAAUCUGACAGGUUUUAUAUGACCCUAUCUAAGGUUAAGAAUUCAGUGACCUUAAAAUGAUUCGAAUAUCUCAGUAGGGAAGACACUUAAAUGUGUCAUCUCUUGCAAAUCGUUUAGUACUCUCCUGCCAAACCACGCCACACGUCGACACCGUAAAUUAGCACGAUGCUUUAUUAUUGCGUGUAGAAAAUUAAGAGGUCGUCUUAAGUAAAUAUUUUUCAAUAAAAACUUGUUUAGAGCGUAAAACUGAACGAUACUCAAAGAUAAUAGUUAGGGUACAUAUUCAUUAAUAGUUGAAAAUCAAGACAAUGCACAUUUCAAACAUUCUAUUUUCACUUUAUAACCAUCAUUUAUAUGGACAUAGUUUUAUUUUUACCUUGAUUUAGAUAAAGAUUUUUCUUCAGACAGCCACCUAGUUAUUUUGUAUAUUACUAAGCAUGUAUUUUGACUGAAAAUUGAAAUAUAUAUUCCUUUAUCUUGAUGUAUGUUAGUUUUUAGUAAAGUUCUUUCGUUCUAGAAAGCAGAUGUGUUAAUAUGUCUGCACGAUGGUAUAUAUUCAACCCAUAUAGAAAUCAAUACAACAUACGUAUUAUGCAUAUAUAGCAUACGUUAUUUAGUGUUAAGUGCAUUUCUGCACUGUUUUUUUGUUUGUUUUUGUUUUGUUUUUCGUUUUAGAACUGAAAUUAACUGAUCUUUGUUAGUUAUAACUGAUCGAGGUUAAAAGGGGGGAAGGUUGAAAAAAACUAGUCUAAUCCCACCACAUGUUCAUGUGCCUGUCCCAAGUCAGGAACCUCUUUGGUUGUCCUUCGUCCUAUCUUUUUUUCACUUUGAGGAAUUGUGGCAGAUGUUUGGAAGCUCUUUUAAAUUUAUUUACUAUUUUUUAGACUAGGGCUAUAUAGAACUUAACAUAUUGUAUAGACACCUGUCUUCUGAGGAAGGCCUUUAAAUGUCUUUUAGUUUUUUUUGCUGUUGGGUUGCUGUCUCAUUGACGUAUGCCCCACAUAUGUGUUUAUUCAUAUUUAAUCUCCAGAAUUACGAAGCCUAAAUGCUAUUUGACUGAAUACACAUGUUUCUUGAUUCCAGUUGUCGGACAAUCAUGUAAACAUGGACCGUGGAAGCGUUCCUUGAUGCAAUAUAACGAAUCCGCAAGUGAUCAUAUCUACGGUAUAUAUCAUUGCUGUUUUCGAUCUCGAGGAACAGCUAUCUUGAUAGACUCUAUCAGACUCACGACACCAUACUGGUCUUUGGUUGGGGGAAAACCGAAGUAAUACCAUCAAAUUUAUUCAUUGACUCCGAUGUCAGACUAAGAACAUUAAGUUCCUGUGUAGGACGUUAAAACAACAUCAACCAUGUUGUACAAUUGACGAGGAACAAGUCUAGGAAAAAGACGCUUUAUUCUUUAAAAUUGGAAAACUUAAGCUCUGUUCUGCAUAGGAUAAUGUACCAUAGAAUCAAGUCAAUACAUUUUUUAGGUUUGUUCUCCUUCAGUUUACCCUAUUGAAUUUUAUUUAGACAGAAUACAUUUUGAAUGAGUGUCCAUGUCGUUUUUUUCUAUAAUAAAAAAAUAAAAUAAAUAAAAACACACAAAAAAAAAAAAAAUAUACAUGUACCCUUAUUGGAAGAUAAUCAUCGACUAAUUUGAUUCAGAUAAUCUCAAAUCUACAAGCCACAUAUACUAGAAUAUGGCGUAUUUUUUUUAUUACAGAAUCAUGAUAAAUAAUAACUGCUUGAACAUAUAAUAUAUUUGUGGAAAUAUGUUUAAUAAUGAUUAUUGCUAGUUAAUUAUUCAUAUAAUGAUUGUUCAUUUUAAUAUAUAUGGUUGUUUACUACAGGUAGUAUAUUUUUUCUCUUUCUAUAGUUUAUCGAUUGCCUUGAUACAUUAAUGACAAAUUUAUUUUAACAUAUUUCUCGUAUUUUCUCCGAACAAAUAAAUAUUGCCAGUUUUUUUUUCAUAUUGUGUGUAUAUAAUUGUACAAUAUACUUGUUGAUGAUGCACAAAAUAGGACAAUGUAUCUGCUUAUACAUGUAUAUACAAUGUAUAUGUUAAUUUUUUUUAUAUUUAGGUAUAAUAUGUAUACGCUAGCAUAAGCUUAAAUGUCACGUGUUUGCUGUUCAAAUAAAUUUUUAUACAUUUUA
Long non-coding RNA from Mytilus californianus (California mussel), 4179 nucleotides. RefSeq lists it as uncharacterized. The record is from RefSeq and is a predicted model, not a curated record. NCBI's taxonomy places the organism in Eukaryota, Metazoa, Mollusca, Bivalvia, Mytilida, Mytilidae. The transcript has 5 exons.